AUUGAACGCUGGCGGCAUGCCUUACACAUGCAAGUCGAACGGCAGCACGGGGGCAACCCUGGUGGCGAGUGGCGAACGGGUGAGUAAUGCAUCGGAACGUGCCCAGUAGUGGGGGAUAACUAGUCGAAAGAUUAGCUAAUACCGCAUACGACCUAUGGGGUGAAAGCGGGGGAUUCGCAAGAACCUCGCGCUAUCGGAGCGGCCGAUGUCUGAUUAGCUAGNGGCGGGGUAAAGCCCACCAAGGCUUCGAUCAGUAGCUGGUCUGAGAGGACGACCAGCCACACUGGGACUGAGACACGGCCCAGACUCCUACGGGAGGCAGCAGUGGGGAAUUUUGGACAAUGGGCGCAAGCCUGAUCCAGCCAUGCCGCGUGCGGGAAGAAGGCCUUCGGUUG
This 395-nucleotide ribosomal RNA is filed under the name uncultured bacterium. RNAcentral describes it as "bacterial SSU rRNA". It matches the Rfam family "Bacterial small subunit ribosomal RNA", at positions 29 to 425 of the family's 1533-position model. The record is from RNAcentral.